CUUUCAACUUCUUCUUGUACUCCAACAAAAACUGAGUCUUUCACUUCUUCUUACCUCUCCGUCCACAUUCGCUGCCCAAAAGAAGUGGCUUCAGUGUGGCUUGAGAAGUGGUAGAUGGAGUAAACUUUCCUAAAGAAUCAGCUACAAUUUGUGAUGGUAAAAGAUAAGACUCAUCAAACGAAUAUUCAGCAAGAAAGAGAAGAUAUGUUUCUAACUUGUAAAUCACAUUAUUUUAUAAAACUUUUCACUAAAGCAUGUAGUUAGAUAUCUUUCUAUGUAUCAUCAUUAUCCCUAGAAUCUACGUAUGACUGUUUUCUUAUAACUUAUCAUACUUGUCACAAACAUAUCUACUUUAUUAUUGUCACAAGCCCUUAUUAACAACUUCUAUAUAGUACGAUACCAUAUGGGAAUUUGGAUAUAACGAAGAUGUUAAUCAGAAGCUCAUUUUAUGAGGAUGUGUGUCAAAAUCAUUUUAUCCACUAGGGAAACAAGAAGGAGCAUUAUCCUGGAUGGGAAAUGUCAUGAUCCAGAGAAGCUUAAGUCAUAUAUGUGCUAUAUCCAAAGGACUAGUCGGAAUUGGAGCUUUCUAGAAUCACUUAUUUAACCUAAUUCCACCAAAUACAUAAUCACUAUGGAGACUUAGCAUAUUCCCAUGUAAUGCCUUGACAAUCUAUCCAUCAAAUAUGAGACUUAACUCAAAUUCCUACCACUCAAAUUCCUAGAAUCUUUAUUAGGGUCCAUGUUGUGUUGCAAUGUCCUAGUGCCACAUGGCGUUAGUAGGUUGACCCUGAUAUCAUUUGUCACGAGUUGAUAAACCAUUAGUCACAUCUGCCUCCAAAAGGAUUAAUCACAAUUUGAACAUAAAUCAUUUACAUAGCCCAUUUUCACUUGUAUAGAACUAAUGUGAGAUUCAGCAUAUGUCCAUGCAAUGCCAUCACAUUCCUCCACCCAAUAUGGGGCUAUAUACAAAACCUUCCCAAUCCAAAGUAUCACAGGAAGAAUGGUGAAAAAGGACUCCUAGAACUGGUCAUAUGUUGGAAUUAGGGCUUGUCUCAUGAGUUAAGGCUUUGUUAAGUUGAGUGAAUUUGCAAAAUUUUAACAGUGUGUUGCUUCUAUGUUCCUCAGGAUAUGCUUUCUGAAGCUCUUUUAUGCUUUGGUGCAAGUUCUAUCACCAUGGAUGAAGAAGACGCCUCUGAGAAUUCUGACAAGAUUUCUAUGGAUUCUAUAUUUCCUGAAGGAAAGGAUGUAAAUGUGUGCAUUUCACGUGCUGCUAAGUCUAUAGGCUUGAAAGAGAUUCCUCAUUAUGAUGUUAAAAUGGGUGAGCAAUCCGACUGGAUAAGGAAAACUCAGGAAUCAUUUCAUCCAGUUGAAGUCACUGAAGGAGUUUGGGUUGUGCCAGAGUGGAUAACUCCCCCUGAUGUUCAAGCAACAAACAUAAUUCUGAAUCCUGGAUUAGCAUUUGGGACUGGGGAGCACCCUACAACUAAGAUGUGUCUAUUGCUGCUGCAUAGCUUAAUAAAAGGUGGAGAACUUGUCUUGGAUUAUGGUACAGGCUCUGGGGUUCUUGCAGUCGCAGCAGUUAAGUUUGGUGCUGCCUUAUCAGUUGGAAUUGAUGUAGAUCCCCAAGCCAUUACAUCUGCAUGCCAGAAUGCUUCCCUGAACAACAUAAGACCUGAGAAAAUGCAAUUACACCUGGUUCCUGGUAAAGCCUGUCCCCCCUCCAUGAAUGAAAGGACAUGUGGAGUUGUGGAAGAACCGAAGUCAAAUGGUAUGGGGUUUAUCUGUGGAACAGAGCAGUAUGAUGUGGUCAUUGCAAAUAUACUUUUAAAUCCUUUGUUAGAGUUGGCAGAUAAUAUUGUCUCUUAUGCCAAACAUGGAUCUGUCGUUGGUCUCUCUGGUAUUCUAUCUGAGCAGGUUCCAUAUAUUAUAGAGCGAUAUUCACCAUUCUUAGAAGGCAUAUCUGUGUCAGAGAUGGAUGACUGGGCCUGUGUGAGUGGCAGAAAGAAAAGAAAAUCUUGCUGACUGCUGAGGAAACUUUCAGUUUGCAAAAGUUUGAUGGUUGAUCAUUGAAAGCUUGCAAAAGUUGCGAAACUUUCAACUUUCAACUUGCCUUGAUUAAGAAGCUAAGCAGUUAGCAUCGACCGUUGAUCAUUGCUGUCCGAUGCAAGCCUAUGGUGUCUGUCUGGAAUGGCUCAAAGAAAUGCAAGGCUACAGGAAAAGUCACGGAAGUCUUUCUAAUCCGAUAUAUAACAUCAAUAAGAGCAAGAAUUAUUAAAGAAAUUACAAAGUACAAGAAAAACAAAAAUUCAUGAAUUAAAAUCAAUAAGUACAAAGUUUAUUUUGGGAAGAAUCUUGGGUCUCCAACAGUGAUUUGAUUGAUGAUAAAGAAAGAUAAUUUUUGGUUC
Corylus avellana is the source of this 2405-nucleotide non-coding RNA. The record is from RefSeq and is a predicted model, not a curated record. NCBI's taxonomy places the organism in Eukaryota, Viridiplantae, Streptophyta, Magnoliopsida, Fagales, Betulaceae.